Molecule: ribosomal RNA, 502 nt
Filed under: uncultured bacterium
Lineage: Bacteria
Description: bacterial SSU rRNA
Rfam family: Bacterial small subunit ribosomal RNA
Source: RNAcentral
GACGAACGCUGGCGGCGUGCCUCAAACAUGCAAGUCGAGCGGGGCUAUGUAAUACCGCAAGGUAGAACAUAGCCUAGCGGCGAACGGGUGAGUAACACGUGGGUAACCUGCCUGGAAGACAGGGAUAACGAUUCGAAAGGGUCGCUAAUACCUGAUAAUAUCCUUUCAUCGCAUGGUGAUAGGAAGAAGGGGAAACCCGCUUUCAGAUGGGCCCGCGUCCCAUCAGCUAGUUGGUAAGGUAAAGGCUUACCAAGGCGACGACGGGUAGCCGGUCUGAGAGGAUGUACGGCCACACUGGGACUGAGAUACGGCCCAGACUCCUACGGGAGGCAGCAGUUGGGAAUCUUAGGCAAUGGACGAAAGUCUGACCUAGCGACGCCGCGUGAGGGAAGAAGGCCUUCGGGGUUGUAAACCUCUGUCAUGGGGGAAGAAGUAAGUGACGGUACCCAAGAGGAAGCCCCUGCUAACUACGUGCCAGCAGCCGCGGUAAGAGUAACUCUAU